Molecule: long non-coding RNA, 897 nt
Organism: Carassius auratus (goldfish)
Lineage: Eukaryota; Metazoa; Chordata; Actinopteri; Cypriniformes; Cyprinidae
Exons: 4
Source: RefSeq, a predicted model, not a curated record
CCAAACAGAACCUUCCAGAUCCUCCGGUUGCGACGGUAACAGAUGAAAGGACCCGCGUGACAGUGCGGCGCGUGAGGAUGACGUCAGUGGUGUCUUAAAACAUGCCCGAUGUAGCUGCAGCCGCGGAUGGCAGUAGUUAAAGCUCUGGAGAAGAUCUCUGAAGAUGAGUUCAGAAGGUCUCAGCUGCUGAAACCCCAUCGAGCCAAAUUCGACAGAACUGAAAACCGACAACUAGAGGAGGUAGAAACGUUCACCCAGAAAUAGAUAAUGUGCUCGCCCUAAUGCCAUCCAAGAUGUAGUUGAGUUUGUUUGUUAGUGGAAACAGAUUUGGAGAAAUGUAGUAUUCCAUCACUUUGCUCACCAGUGAAUGGGUGCCGUCAGAAUGAGAGUCCAAACAGCUGAUGAAAACAUCAGUAAUCCACACCACUCCAGUCCAUCAGUUUAUGUCUGGUGAAGUGAGAAACUCUGCGACCUCAUGAAACCAGCGCUGAUAUUCUAGAGCUGGAUGUCGAGUCUGUAGACAUUGUCUGGCCUCCUGCUAUUCCGGAUUGACGUUUCGGGAUUUUGAGAACAGUUUUCCUAUAUGUCAGGACUAUAUAUUUAUAUAGAUUAUUUGGAUGAACUAAAGCCAAAUGCACUGAAUGCAUGUGCUUUAAUAAACCACCUAAUUUAGUUUUUCUUGUUAAUGUCACGAUCCUCUAGAAACUAGUUUAUUUUGAUAUACAUUUUAAAAUUGUUUGUAGGUUUUAGGUAGAAUCAUGCAUAGCCUAUGUAAUGAGUUUAUAGUUAUAUCAAAAUCUAAACAACCCCAUAUUAAAGUAAUAACUACGUUUAUAGACCCUUGCAGCUUCCAAAUGUUGGCAAAACUAAUUUUUUAAAAAUUUAUACAAAUUUUAC